CGGGGUUAUGUAGCUUGCUAUGUAACCUAGUGGCGGACGGGUGAGUAAUAUAUAGGAGGUAUGUCUUAUUGUGGGGGACACGUAUGGAAACGUACGCUAAUACCGCAUAAGAUUGAAGAAUGAAAGCGGGGGCUCGAAAGACCUCGCGCCGUAAGAUGAGCCUAUAUCGGAUUAGCUAGUUGGUGGGGUAAGAGCCUACCAAGGCGACGAUCCGUAGCUGGUUUGAGAGAAUGAUCAGCCACAUCGGGACUGAGACACGGCCCGAACUCCUACGGGAGGCAGCAGUGGGGAAUAUUGGACAAUGGGGGGAACCCUGAUCCAGCAAUGCCGCGUGUGUGAAGAAGGCCUUCGGGUUGUAAAGCACUUUUAUUAGUGAAGAACGGUGCAUGGUUAAUACCCAUGCAAUUGACAUUAGCUAAGGAAAAAGCACCGGCUAACUCCGUGCCAGCAGCCGCGGUAAUACGGAGGGUGCAAGCGUUAUUCGGAAUGACUGGGCGUAAAGCGCACGCAGGUGGUUUUAUAAGUCAGGUGUGAAAUCCCUGGGCUCAACCUAGAAUUGCAUUUGAAACCGUAAGACUAGAGUAUGUCAGAGGAAGGCGGAAUUUCCAGUGUAGCAGUGAAAUGCGUAGAUAUUGGAAGGAACACCGAUGGCGAAGGCAGCCUUCUGGGGCAAUACUGACACUCAUGUGCGAAAGCGUGGGUAGCAAACAGGAUUAGAUACCCCUGGUAGUCCACGCUCCCUAAACGAUUAACGAGGUGUUGGGUAGAAAUACUCGGUACCGA
This 783-nucleotide ribosomal RNA is filed under the name Dichelobacter nodosus. Its description in RNAcentral is "bacterial SSU rRNA". It matches the Rfam family "Bacterial small subunit ribosomal RNA", at positions 67 to 849 of the family's 1533-position model. Lineage: Bacteria; Pseudomonadati; Pseudomonadota; Gammaproteobacteria; Cardiobacteriales; Cardiobacteriaceae. The record is from RNAcentral.